This 523-nucleotide ribosomal RNA is filed under the name Pseudomonas sp. ALE_F1. RNAcentral's name for it is "bacterial SSU rRNA". It matches the Rfam family "Bacterial small subunit ribosomal RNA", at positions 57 to 573 of the family's 1533-position model. The record is from RNAcentral. Lineage: Bacteria; Pseudomonadati; Pseudomonadota; Gammaproteobacteria; Pseudomonadales; Pseudomonadaceae.
GCGGGGCGAGCGUUAUCACNGGAGCUUGNUCCUGGCUUCAGCGGCGNAUGGGUGAGUAAUGCCUAGGAAUCUGCCUGGUAGUGGGGGAUAACGUCCGGAAACGGGCGCUAAUACCGCAUACGUCCUGAGGGAGAAAGUGGGGGAUCUUCGGACCUCACGCUAUCAGAUGAGCCUAGGUCGGAUUAGCUAGUUGGUGGGGUAAAGGCCUACCAAGGCGACGAUCCGUAACUGGUCUGAGAGGAUGAUCAGUCACACUGGAACUGAGANACGGUCCAGACUCCUACGGGAGGCAGCAGUGGGGAAUAUUGGACAAUGGGCGAAAGCCUGAUCCAGCCAUGCCGCGUGUGUGAAGAAGGUCUUCGGAUUGUAAAGCACUUUAAGUUGGGAGGAAGGGCAGUAAGUUAAUACCUUGCUGUUUUGACGUUACCAACAGAAUAAGCACCGGCUAACUUCGUGCCAGCAGCCGCGGUAAUACGAAGGGUGCAAGCGUUAAUCGGAAUUACUGGGGCGUAAAGCGCGCGUA